This 71-nucleotide transfer RNA is filed under the name Dermacentor silvarum. RNAcentral's name for it is "transfer RNA glycine (anticodon GCC)". It matches the Rfam family "tRNA". From Rfam's summary of the family: Transfer RNA (tRNA) molecules are approximately 80 nucleotides in length. Their secondary structure includes four short double-helical elements and three loops (D, anti-codon, and T loops). The record is from RNAcentral. Lineage: Eukaryota; Metazoa; Arthropoda; Arachnida; Ixodida; Ixodidae.
GCGUCGGUGGUUCAGUGGUAGAAUACUCGCCUGCCACGCGGGUGGCCCGGGUUCGAUUCCCGGUCGACGCA